UGAUUUGGUCAUCUGUGAUGCCAGUAGUCCCUCUGGUGGCCCAUGUGUGAAUCAGGACAACCCGAAAAAAGGUCAACGACAUGUCAAAGACCUCUUUGAGGAGCGUCAUGUAUAUGUUUCUUCUGGAUACAUUCUUUGGGUGUAAUGUCUUGUUCUAACAUGUCAAAUAAAGUGUUCUAUAUAAAACAAUCCUAACCGUUGGAGCUACCUUAAUUGUAUCUGAUUUGUUUAACACCAAGGCGCAUGUAGUAGGCUUGUCAUCUGACAUGUAUCAAUCAACCCUUUUGUAAGCAUGGAACUCUGAACCAUCCACCGGAGGGAGAUAAGUGUUGCACACCAAUUUCCCGUCUAGGACAAACAAUGGGUGUCAAAACACAAGCUUUCCAAUGUCCAGUAGGAUGAACUGACUCAAUGUUAUAGUGGUUUGCCAAAGUGAAACCAGCAGGGCUGUGGUUGGAUGCAGUGUUGGUAAUUUUCAACUGAAAUUACAACUUUCCUUGAUACCUCUCACUAGCUUGGUUUCCAUCCAAAUAUGGACAUUUCUUCUUUAAUGAUAUGCAUGUCAC
Long non-coding RNA from Oncorhynchus tshawytscha (Chinook salmon), 566 nucleotides. The record is from Ensembl. Lineage: Eukaryota; Metazoa; Chordata; Actinopteri; Salmoniformes; Salmonidae.